GACCCAGAGCCGGUAAUUCUUUAAAGGGGGCCCGGGCUUAGAAACCGUAUCAUAGCCGCGCCCCCUGUAAUGUGUCCGGCCCGGAACCACUGUCCCCCCGGUACCCCCCUAAUGGCGGCCCUGAGACGGAAAUACUUACCGAGUGGCAGUAAAGUCUAGUCCCUUAGUUCCCGGGGGGAACCGUUUGUUACGGGGUUGCCGGGGCCGUUCCAGAGCUGCUGCACAGAGACAGGACCUGAGCUUUCCAGGCAGCGGCGAGUCUGUGGCUGAGCGGGGAGGUUGAACAAAAAGAAAACUCACAAAAUCAACGCUGUAAGGUAAAAGGAGAGCUAUGCUUCUCUGUCAAGCUUUCUGACAUGUACAAAAUAGCAGCAAAGGAUGAUAGAGGGCAGUAUGUACAUUCUCUAUCUGUUCCCUUCACACAUAUCUGAGCCAGAUAAUAUCAUGCCGAACGGGCAGCCCCAAAGCAUUCUCUCAGCUCUGGCCAUGAAUUAUGAAUAUCCUCUGUAUUGCCUGUUUCAGCAAUGAUCAUAUUUCAUCACAUUAUAUUUGGCUUCCAUUUUUUGUGAGGAGCCAUUAGAAUGAGAAGGUUUUAUUUACAAUCUAAUAAACAAAUAAAAUAUUGUGAAAACAGA
Xenopus tropicalis (tropical clawed frog) is the source of this 635-nucleotide long non-coding RNA. RefSeq lists it as uncharacterized. The transcript is spliced from 2 exons. The record is from RefSeq and is a predicted model, not a curated record. NCBI's taxonomy places the organism in Eukaryota, Metazoa, Chordata, Amphibia, Anura, Pipidae.